Molecule: long non-coding RNA, 480 nt
Organism: Micropterus dolomieu (smallmouth bass)
Lineage: Eukaryota; Metazoa; Chordata; Actinopteri; Centrarchiformes; Centrarchidae
Exons: 3
Source: RefSeq, a predicted model, not a curated record
GCUGUUUUAAGCGGUUGAGGGAGGGCUCUUGUCUUCCAUCUGCAGAGCUUGCAUGGGACAGGUGGUCCCAGUGCAAGCUGGCGUUGCGCUGUUGCUCAGCCUGAUAGCUACGCUACAGUUGGGCGUAGCGUUCCUCCUGUUCUUCAGCUUGUAGCUGGGCUCUGCGUUGGCAGAGGAGGACCAUUUCUGCAAGUACGUCGGGGAUGGAGCGUUGUGGCUUCUCACACAUGUCAUUGAUGUGGAGGAGACCAGCGACCGUAUCCUGCUUCAGCUACUAGCUUACGGAAGUCUUGCUGAUUCAUUUCACCACUCUGUUAGAGAGGACACGCAAUUAAUAUUUGUACAAGAACCACAGGGGGAUUCAACAGAGCCUGAAGACUCCCUGCAAUGAGACAGCAACCUCGCACCAAGUCUCAGCUCCCUGAGUUUUGUAAGCCUUUCCGUGUUACGUAUCUUUAAUAAAACAUAACAUUAAGCUUG